UCGAACGAGUUCUGAUUAUUGAAAGGUGCUUGCAUCUUGAUUUAAUUUUGAACGAGUGGCGGACGGGUGAGUAACACGUGGGUAACCUGCCCUUAAGUGGGGGAUAACAUUUGGAAACAGAUGCUAAUACCGCAUAAAUCCAAGAACCGCAUGGUUCUUGGCUGAAAGAUGGCGUAAGCUAUCGCUUUUGGAUGGACCCGCGGCGUAUUAGCUAGUUGGUGAGGUAACGGCUCACCAAGGCAAUGAUACGUAGCCGAACUGAGAGGUUGAUCGGCCACAUUGGGACUGAGACACGGCCCAAACUCCUACGGGAGGCAGCAGUAGGGAAUCUUCCACAAUGGACGCAAGUCUGAUGGAGCAACGCCGCGUGAGUGAAGAAGGCUUUCGGGUCGUAAAACUCUGUUGUUGGAGAAGAAUGGUCGGCAGAGUAACUGUUGUCGGCGUGACGGUAUCCAACCAGAAAGCCACGGCUAACUACGUGCCAGCAGCCGCGGUAAUACGUAGGUGGCAAGCGUUAUCCGGAUUUAUUGGGCGUAAAGCGAGCGCAGGCGGUUUUUUAAGUCUGAUGUGAAAGCCCUCGGCUUAACCGAGGAAGUGCAUCGGAAACUGGGAAACUUGAGUGCAGAAGAGGACAGUGGAACUCCAUGUGUAGCGGUGAAAUGCGUAGAUAUAUGGAAGAACACCAGUGGCGAAGGCGGCUGUCUGGUCUGUAACUGACGCUGAGGCUCGAAAGCAUGGGUAGCGAACAGGAUUAGAUACCCUGGUAGUCCAUGCCGUAAACGAUGAAUGCUAGGUGUUGGAGGGUUUCCGCCCUUCAGUGCCGCAGCUAACGCAUUAAGCAUUCCGCCUGGGGAGUACGACCGCAAGGUUGAAACUCAAAGGAAUUGACGGGGGCCCGCACAAGCGGUGGAGCAUGUGGUUUAAUUCGAAGCAACGCGAAGAACCUUACCAGGUCUUGACAUCUUUUGAUCACCUGAGAGAUCAGGUUUCCCCUUCGGGGGCAAAAUGACAGGUGGUGCAUGGUUGUCGUCAGCUCGUGUCGUGAGAUGUUGGGUUAAGUCCCGCAACGAGCGCAACCCUUAUGACUAGUUGCCAGCAUUUAGUUGGGCACUCUAGUAAGACUGCCGGUGACAAACCGGAGGAAGGUGGGGAUGACGUCAAAUCAUCAUGCCCCUUAUGACCUGGGCUACACACGUGCUACAAUGGAUGGUACAACGAGUUGCGAGACCGCGAGGUCAAGCUAAUCUCUUAAAGCCAUUCUCAGUUCGGACUGUAGGCUGCAACUCGCCUACACGAAGUCGGAAUCGCUAGUAAUCGCGGAUCAGCACGCCGCGGUGAAUACGUUCCCGGGCCUUGUACACACCGCCCGUCACACCAUGAGAGUUUGUAACACCCGAAGCCGGUGGCGUAACCCUUUUAGGGAGCGAGCCGUCUA
This 1435-nucleotide ribosomal RNA is filed under the name Lacticaseibacillus rhamnosus. RNAcentral describes it as "bacterial SSU rRNA". It matches the Rfam family "Bacterial small subunit ribosomal RNA". Lineage: Bacteria; Bacillati; Bacillota; Bacilli; Lactobacillales; Lactobacillaceae. RNAcentral also lists the same sequence under 1 other name. The record is from RNAcentral.